GGGGAUAUAGCUCAGUUGGUAGAGUUCUAAUCCCUGGCACCAAAAAAUAAAUAAAUAAAUUAAAAAAAAAUAAAAAAAAUAAAGAAAAAAAAAAACAAAGAAAGAAAUUUAAAAAAAGAAAAAAAGGCUGGGGAUCUAGCUCAAUGGAAGUGCACCAAGGGGUUCAAUCCCCAAUACUCACC
This 182-nucleotide transfer RNA is filed under the name Marmota monax (woodchuck). Its description in RNAcentral is "tRNA.Gln". Lineage: Eukaryota; Metazoa; Chordata; Mammalia; Rodentia; Sciuridae. The record is from RNAcentral.